AUUGAACGCUGGCGGCAGGCCUAACACAUGCAAGUCGAGCGAGCGGCGGACGGGUGCGUAAUGUCUGGGAAACUGCCUGAUGGCGGGGGAUAACUACUGGAAACGGUAUCUAAUACCGCAUACCAUCAGCUGUGCCCAGGUGGGAUUAGCUAGUGGGUGGGGUAACGGCUCACCUAGGCGACGAUCCCUAGCUGGCCUGAGAGGAUGAUCAGCCACACUGGAACUGAGACACGGUCCAGACUCCUACGGGAGGCAGCAGUGGGGAAUAUUGCACAAUGGGCGCAAGCCUGAUGCAGCCAUGCCGCGUGUGUGAAGAAGGUCUUCGGGUUGUAAAGCACUGUCAGCGGGGAGGCGGUACCCGCAGAAGAAGCAACGGCUAACUCCGUGCCAGCAGCCGCGGUAAUUC
Molecule: ribosomal RNA, 406 nt
Filed under: uncultured bacterium
Lineage: Bacteria
Description: partial 16S ribosomal RNA
Rfam family: Bacterial small subunit ribosomal RNA
Source: RNAcentral